This 515-nucleotide ribosomal RNA is filed under the name uncultured bacterium. RNAcentral's name for it is "partial 16S ribosomal RNA". It matches the Rfam family "Bacterial small subunit ribosomal RNA", at positions 355 to 861 of the family's 1533-position model. The record is from RNAcentral.
UAGGGAAUCUUCCACAAUGGACGAAAGUCUGAUGGAGCAACGCCGCGUGAGUGAAGAAGGUUUUCGGAUCGUAAAGCUCUGUUGUUGGUGAAGAAGGAUAGAGGCAGUAACUGGUCUUUAUUUGACGGUAAUCAACCAGAAAGUCACGGCUAACUACGUGCCAGCAGCCGCGGUAAUACGUAGGUGGCAAGCGUUGUCCGGAUUUAUUGGGCGUAAAGCGAGCGCAGGCGGAAUGAUAAGUCUGAUGUGAAAGCCCACGGCUCAACCGUGGAACUGCAUCGGAAACUGUCAUUCUUGAGUGCAGAAGAGGAGAGUGGAACUCCAUGUGUAGCGGUGGAAUGCGUAGAUAUAUGGAAGAACACCAGUGGCGAAGGCGGCUCUCUGGUCUGCAACUGACGCUGAGGCUCGAAAGCAUGGGUAGCGAACAGGAUUAGAUACCCUGGUAGUCCAUGCCGUAAACGAUGAGCGCUAGGUGUUGGGGACUUUCCGGUCCUCAGUGCCGCAGCAAACGCAUU